GGCUGGUCCGAUAGUAGUGGGAUAUUGUCAGAACUUAACAUUAAUGCCACUAAAGUUGAUAUACAAUCUCCCACUGCCAAAUUUGGCUUUUA
Unclassified non-coding RNA from Colobus angolensis palliatus, 92 nucleotides. It matches the Rfam family "Y RNA". Rfam says of the family: Y RNAs are components of the Ro ribonucleoprotein particle (Ro RNP), in association with Ro60 and La proteins. The Y RNAs and Ro60 and La proteins are well conserved, but the function of the Ro RNP is not known. The record is from Ensembl. Lineage: Eukaryota; Metazoa; Chordata; Mammalia; Primates; Cercopithecidae.